CGCCUUUUCUUGGGAAAUUCGGCGGUCUUCAAUUACCUGGCAGCACGAGGCCUUGAGGGGAACUUCCGGACAAAUCCAAAAAUUUGUCCUCCUCGCCAGAAGGCUUGUAUUAAUCAUUUCUACCUGUACUUAAAGGUAAUUGGAGGCUUCUUGGGGCUUUGGGGCAGCGCCCGCACUAUUUCUUAUCAUUCUAACUAAUGCUGUGCAUCUUCCAAAGGUAAUUGGAUACUCCUUGUGGCUCUCUGGGCAGCGCCCGUGACAUUAUUUUCCUAUUCUAACGUUUGCUGUAUGUAUUAAAAGGUAAUUGGAGGCUUCUUGGGGCUUUGGGGCAGCGCCCGCACUAUUUCUUAUCAUUCUAACUAAUGCUGUGCAUCUUCCAAAGGUACGUGCUAUACAUAAAUUGGCCCUCCGACCCUACAACUGAACCACAUCCGUCAGAAGUUAUACAGUCCACACCUGACAAGCUACAAUGAUUUGUGAGCGAGAAGGAAUUGCGUCCCAAGUGACCAGGGUCGAGAAUUAUCUGGAUGG
Molecule: long non-coding RNA, 531 nt
Organism: Lutzomyia longipalpis
Lineage: Eukaryota; Metazoa; Arthropoda; Insecta; Diptera; Psychodidae
Exons: 3
Source: RefSeq, a predicted model, not a curated record